Molecule: long non-coding RNA, 1457 nt
Filed under: Nicotiana tabacum (common tobacco)
Lineage: Eukaryota; Viridiplantae; Streptophyta; Magnoliopsida; Solanales; Solanaceae
Description: long non-coding RNA (NTAB_LNC007042)
Source: RNAcentral
ACGAAUAAAAGGGCUAAUUCGUUAUAGUUUCCUUUUCAUUGCUACGUCUGGUAGAGUCUAUGAGACAACUUUCACCUUAUCCUACCAUUAUUUCUAGAAUUUUAUGUUUCCUUCUUUCAUGUUUAUUUGCUAUUUUGUUCCUUUUAGACAAGAAAAUAGUAUUACGUCAAAGUCUUGCACACAAGACAUUGCUAUUCAAAACAAUUGAAGCAGAAGCGAGAUUAAGUUUAAAAAGAAAGCUUCAUAGAUCAAAAGCAGUAUUUCGAUCAUAUUUCACAGAAGCAGAAGCUUCAUUUCGUUCAAUAAUUCAAGGAACAAGUAUGUUAAGGCUAUCCCUUCUUUCUUUUGUCAUGAUCCAUACGAUACGAACGAAACGUGUAAAUGCACAAAUUUCAUGAAUGACUUUAUACAUAGAAGUAUUAGAGAUAUCUAUGUUCUUGAAUUUCCGUGUAUCAUAAUAUUUUAUCAUCUAUUCAUGGAUCUCUUUUCAUGCAUUGCAUUCAUGUGCAUUGACUCAUGACCAGAUGGAGUUAUAUACGCGUAUAUAUGUAAAUAUAUGUAUAUGGGAUAUGGGAAAAGGUUACGACGUUAUAUACGCACCACCACCUGAUCAGCUGGUAUAUGACGAUGAUGUUGCCCACAGUGGCUGAAAUAUGAUUCAAACGGCGUCAUAUAUGCAUAUAUAUAUGUAUGUACUCAAAUGGCGUUAUAUACGCAUAUAUAUGUAUGCAUAUGGGAUAUGGGAAAGGUUAUGGCGUUAUAUACGUACCACCACCUGAUCAGCUGGUAUACGAUGAUAAUUUUGCCCACAGUGGCCGAUAUGAUAUGAUGGGAUGCCCUCAGAGGCUGAUGAUGUUAUGAAGCAUGUACCUAUGCACGACAUGACAUUCAUACGCACAUGCAUGACGCUAAAAGUAAUUUAUGAUUUACAAAGUUAUUCAGACUUGUAGGUUGAGUCAUUUACUCUAUAUUUCUUCCAUGUCUCUGAUGUACUUACUUAUGUGCCUUACAUACUCGGUACAUUAUUCGUACUGAUGUCCCUUUUGCUAGGGGCCGCUGCGUUUCAUGCCCGCAGGUCCCGAUAGACAGGAUGAGAGCCCUCCAAGUAGGCUAUCAGCUCAACGGAAGAUGUUGGUGUGCUCCAUUUGCUUCGGAGUUGCUUGUUUGGUUAGUAUGAUUUAGACGUGUAAUGUUUGGUAUGGCAGGACUCUAUCCCGGACUCUAUGAUAUUUAUGUAUUAUUAGAGGCUUGUAAGACAUAUGUCUUGUACGUGAAAGAUUAUACGGCCUUGUCGGCCUAUAUUUUGAGUUGAUAAUGAUUAUGCUGGCCUAUUAGGCCCGUAUGUCACGUGUAUAUGAUGAUGUAAUAAUAAAGAUACGUUCCAUUGAUACUCGAUUGAGUAAGGUACCGGGUACCCGUCGCGGCCCAUCGGUUUGGGUCGUGAUAUAAUGUAUACA